CUGAGGGCACCGGACAUGGCUUUGUGCUGUUCAUGUCCUGAGGCCUUGUUGCUGUCCUGGAACUGAUGGCUUCCAUUGUGUUUCUCUGCCAAAUAGCCAUCAUCUUCUGAAGGAGAUGUCAAAAUAUUGAUGCCUCCUAAAUUCUUUUAAAAAUGCUCUUGCCUGCACAUCCCAUGCGUGACAGCAAGUUGGUGGGCAGCUGGCCAGCUGGAGCCCCUGCACCACCCGUCUUUGUAUAACCUUUUCUUUUGUUUUCCUGUAUUUGAAAGGAUCCAGAAGCCAGGAUCGUAUGGUGCCUGUGAGUGAGGCUGCUACUGCGCCGUAGAGGCCUGUCAGAAAGGCUCUGACAGGAAGAAAAUAUGUUUUCUGCAGCCCCUGGCUUCCUGCCAGCUGCACGAUAGCUGCCACGGAGACAGGAGCCCAGACGGUCCUAAUACAUCAUAAUAUUAGUUCUGCUGCUGGAGACUACAGGCAGACCAGUGCGAAGGGGAUGUGCACUGCAGCUGUGCACUCCAUCCUGGUUCAGAGGUUGGGAGAUUUCAGCCACCAGAGGAACAAACUAACAGUGUCUCAGCACUUCUGUAGUUCCUGCCUGGAGCCUGCACAACAACUUCGAGGUCAUACCUAAUUUUUUUUUGCCCCCUCCUAUUUGCUCUGCUUCCCCUCAGGCCUCAUACAGACGUACUUUCCUCCCAGCAGUGUCAGAGCAGACUGGAAAGCAUCGACUGGUGUUUAAGACAAGGUGCCCACUGCAGAAAGGAUCUAGAGGAACCUGCUCUGCACAUCACUCCAGCUUCCUCCACCCUAGGCAAAGAACGACUUGUAGGAGCUUUUCCCAUGGUUUGAGUAAAAUCCCAUUAAAAGGCCACCAGAGGGGGUAGCUUCCUCUGCUGCAGCAAAGACCCAGAGAGCGGGCGCCAGCAUGGCACACAUUACCGCUAUUAUUUAUAGCGCUCUACCUAUACUUAUGCAAGUGGUGCUAAUUAGUAGAUGGAAUUAGCCAACUGCUCUCGGCAGCAUAAUUGUAAAUAAUUUCCUAACGUUUCACUCCCUCAGUAAUGAGUUUCUCCUGGAAACACAAAAGAUGAACUACUGAUAAUCUGGCAGUUUCCAGCAAGAUGACAGACAUUAAUUACAUGAGAUUAGGAUGUGAUCCUCCACUUUACGUCAGUUUGGGAUUUCUAGGCAGAGCUGAAUCUUAGGACUUACUGGACUCUUGUCAAUAGCAUUUUAUGAACCGUUGUUUGUUUGUUUUUCUGUGAUUUUAAGCCGCCUUUUAGCUUUACUUUUUCCCACACACCUAGCCACCAUCAACUAUUUUGCAGACAGAACUGCUGGGCCCGAUUUUCUGAUAAGGUAGUCCUGUAAUUAUGCCUGAAAAGCAGGUAAAGAGUCAAGAUAAUUUGUAUUUAAAAAUGACUGUGCCAACAGGCCGGCCCACUGAGUGUUCAGGGAUGGAGCCAGGCACUGGUUGCCUUUAUGAUCAGGCAGAUAUUUACUGAAGCAUGGGAUGUCAGCUCCAGGAGAGCGGUGCCAAUGAUGGCAGGAAGGAAAAUAAUCACUGACUGAGGUCAUGUCAGCAAACUGGACCUUAUCUUUGUUGUUUUUCAAGGGGCUCUGCUGACUGCUGAAGGCCGUUGGGAACUCCCUUUGAGUUAAGGUGCGAAUGCUGGAGCUGAGGUGGAAUCCCAACCACAUGGAGAAGCUCCAUCUGCUGAUGCAGCUGUGAUUCAACAAGAAUUUUCUCAGGUUCCUCUUAACCUAGUGCUGACCAAAUCCCUUCUUCAGGAAGGUCGCAGUUGUCACUCACGCAGGUAUGAAACCAGGAGCAAGGAUACAGACUUAAGCUAAAGAAGUUCCUUUUUUAAAUUUCUACCUGAUGCUCAGUCGUUCUUAUGAAUUCUGAAUCAGACAUUGGGUAGUUUCCACAUUUGUAGGAAAAUGGAAUUUGGUGCAUGGUAAUCUUGCUGUUUUCUCCGUGUUCACUAGUUUUCUAUAAAUAAUACAAAUGCAUGAUAAUCACCACUGGAACUGUUCGCUAAAACAAGAAAGGAGACAUUAUUCAUUAAAAUAGAAAGAUAUUCAUAGACACUUGCUGGAACAAAAUCCCCGAGCAUCAGGAUAUUCAGAAACACUGUUUGCUUUCUGAGCAUUUGCAAACAGCCGGUUUCUGUUCCUGCUGCUGCUGCUGUUUGCUGCUGUGCCAUCUUGGGAGUGGAACGAUGUCUUCUAAUUUCCCCACCUGUGCCUUGGGAUGACGACCCUGUGCCAUGUUCAUGGUGCUCCACCUCCCUCCUGGUGGCCUGUGAGCUCCUAGCACAACGCCUGGGUGCAGCUUAACCGCUUGCUUUCGGGUCCCACCAGGACACUCUGGUGCUGAUAGCAUGUGGGACCUUCUUCCCUUCCAGUGCUGUGCUGGCAUCCUCACGUUUGGCAUGAUUUGGCUAAGUGCUAGAGGUCAGUGCUCAAACUAUCCUACAUGUGUUGGUGCUCGAGUCCUGCUGAUUUAAAAGGGAGUUAAUGGUUUAAAUGCCUUUGAAAAUCUGUGCCUCGGAGCCUGAACUGCACAAACUCAGCCUCAAUUACCAAAUUCAGCCAUCAGUAUUUAAAGCAGAGCACAGCUAGGUGAACAAGGAUAUCCUACUCCAGCCUCAGGGGCUGAGGUUCAACAGUUGUCACCAUUUAUAUUUCCUGAAAGCCACUGGGACCUUUACAUUGACCAGCAGCACUGAUGCUCCCAGCUGCUUCAGAUGUGUGCUGUCACCCGAUGCUGCACUCCAGGGCUGCCCACAUUUCCUACAAGUUCCACAGCCUCCAUCUGCACGGGCAAAUCAUGGUGUUAUUCUCCCUCCCUGCAACUUUUCAAUCAGCAGAAACAUCUCUCACCUCACUUCACCUAAUUAACUGUCAGGAGUUGAUCUUUGGGCUGAAAUUGGUAUCUGAAGUAGUAAUGUGUGAACAAGCUUUACUGAUGGAUUUUGUUAUUUAUUGGUAAGCAGAAUGCAAACUGACAAAGAGCUGGUUCAGCUGAAGGUUACUUCAUCUAUUUGUUUCUGUUAUUGUUGUUUUUUCUUUAAUGUAAUAACUUGAUAUUGAAUUAAUUUGUUUACCAGGCUAGCCUUAGCCACAUCCCUCCUUUGAGGGCAAUUUUAUGGAACCCUAACAAUUAAUAAUAAGAGCAGUCUGUAAACGCACUGCCCUCCUUCAUUCUCCAGCCAUCCUUCAGCCCCCGUGCAGGUCAGCGAGCCCCACGCCGUGUCUCACCACGAGCUGCUCAGAGUGCUGCCAGGCUGUAAGGGUUUGGGCUGAGAGCAUCUGCAGAAAAAUUCUGCAGCUGCUUUGGUUGGGAAAAAGACUUCAGAGAAAGAACACAAAGGGAGAUGUGUUGUUUUACUCAUCCUAGCUGACAAAAAAAGCCCAGCAAUCUGUCCACUCAGAAGGUCCUCCUUGCUUUAGGGCUGGGAUUUGAAACUUCCUUUGAGGUUUUUCUUGUUUUGAAUCUACACUGAAUGUGUCCCCUCCACGCAUUCAGAAUAAUGGAGAUGAGUUGCUGUGAAUGCUGACUCCCAGUUUUGUUUGCAUAGGUGUGCUCAGGUGCUACAGGAGGAGUGUAGGACACCGCAGACCUGCAGAAAGCAAACGCAGGCACAGGGCAGAGCGCUCUCCCCUGCCCUUAUGGGCCCUUUGCUGAUGCUCAGGCAGCAUGUAAUGAGAAGUUACCAGCUUCCUCUUCCAUGCAUCCCACAUCCUGUGGUUCCACAGGGCAGUGGCUGGGGAUGGGGGUUUGUGCAGUUUUUCCAUCUGCUCCCUCAUUUUGAGCCUGUUUCUUCUGGCUGGGGACACCUCUUUAUCUGCGUUCUUGAGUAAGAACUCAGAUCUUCAAUGCUCGUUGCUGAAAAUAUCUCAUAAACAAGGGAAUAUUGAAAUUUUACAUAGAACACGCACAAAAAGCUGAGAUCUUAAUUCCUAUAUCUACCCACUGGCAUUUAAUAUUAUCUCCUAUCUUCUUCCACUUGCGUUCCCUUUCCUUAUCUUAUGCUCAUCCUGAAAGUACCUAAUAUCUAAAUUGAUUGUGUUUUGGUUGUAUCUAGAUGAGAACAGACCAAUUCCAGAAGAUGAGCUCUCAGUUCAUUAUAUGUCUUCUUAAUUGGACUUAUUUGGAGUUAGAAAGCCAAAUAUUCUACUGGCAGAAACUGUUGACACUAGAGGAACAUUUGGCCAUCAAAAUCAUGUGCUUUUUAUUGCUGUGUGUUAUUUAUUAGCUCAUAUAGCACCUUUAAUUAAAUGUCGCUGCACAGUGAUGUAUAUCCAUUAAUUUUGCAUUAAUGCACACCCCAUCAAGUGCAUUCUGGAGCCUGGCACUGGGAUGCUGGGGAGUCUUGCUUCAGAUACCAACUCACUCUGACCUUAGGUGUGUCUGUGAGAGGGUGGGUUGAUGCUUCCUGCCCCGAAUGAUGCACAGCAGCACUUGGAGAUCUUUUGGAGAAAGCGCAGUAUGAAAACAGUAUUUAAAUCUGGAUGGAGUUGUUUGAUAACCUUUGGCCUUCUGGAUGCUGAAUGCUUUUCCAAAUAAAGACUCAACAUGUGUAAAGGAGGACACAAAGGUCUGCAAAUAUUUGCUUAUGCUUUUAGAAGCUCUCCAGGCACAUUUGCAGAGCAAAGUGCUGCGCUAAAGCAGCAGAAGGGCUGGCAGAGGUAGAGCACAGCAGUACAGAGCAGGAUCCCAAACAGUGAAAAGAGAAAUUUUUUUUGCAUGAUGAAGAUGCAGCCCUGCCUCUCCCAGGUUUGCUCCCUUGUUGCAGGAACUCGGACAGGUCAGGUUUGCUUUGUGGAGCUGCCCUCGUUAAAAAAAAAAAAAGGUGAAAUUCUUGUACAGCUAUUCUGUGGCAGGAGAAUUUCAAAUGUGCUAUGUUCAUGUCCACGAAGAUGCUGGAGGAAGAGUGCCGUGUGGGCAGAGAGCUGGGGACAUUUGGAUAGAGGGCGAGCAGCGGGGCAAUAAAUGGCCAUGGUAAGUUCAUUGACGUUUGUGCUGGCUCGACUGGCUGCGUGCUUAUGGAUUGUCUGCCUGCCUAAUGGAAAAUAAGUGUUUAUUUCACUUUUGUUUAUGGUCAGUAUCUCCCAAGAUUCGUUUUCUGGCUGCUGUGCGUUACUCUAUGCUAUGUUGUUUGGAUGUGGAAGUAAUGAGAUAGUAAUUCACCCUCUUGAAAUACCGCUCGAAAUCCUGGUCCUCCUGAGCACCAUGCAUAGAUACCACAAACCCUUGGAGGGCUGGGACUUCAUCCCCCCUGCUGAAUAUCUCAUCUUUAUUGAACCUGGAGAGCUUUCUAAUAAAAAUGUGCAUCUGAAUCAGCCAUCGGGCAGUCGGAAUGGUCUUUUGGCUCUGGUCUGGCAUCACAUCGAGGGGCUGGGGUGUCCCAGCAUCUUCUGAGCAGCACAGGAGGCACAGCAGCCUCUGGGGAAGGUGCUCCAGCCCCACUGUUUGUCAGACCUGCUGGACGCACCGAUUCUUGCCAACUGAGGAUCCAGUAUGUGCAGUCUGGUUGAGCUUUGAUUUCUGCUCAGAUUCCACCUUCCGUUAGCUCUCCGGGAGCAUUUCUUUGACAGGAGAAAUUUUUCACUCUCUUCAAAAAAAAAGCAGCUGCGUUUUGGGUGAAGCUGCCACGUUCAGUACAUCUGCACACCCGCAUGCACUGCCAGGCAUGCACAGAGCCUCAUUUUGCAUAAUUACAUUGGUUUUUAACCAUGGCAAUAUAUUCAGAUCUUCAGACACCCGGCUGUCAGAUCCAGCUCUCUAACUGCCACCCUGCAGGAAAAGCAACUGCAUCAGAGCAAAGGCAGUGGUGAAGAGCUCAAGGUGCCUUCAAGCAGGGCCAUGGGGGCAGCAGGAGCCUUUUGGGUUGACCACGGCAAAGGGGGAAGCCACCCAAACUGGCUGUCAAAGCAAACCUCAGGUGGUCAAGAAUAAUUGGGAAGUACCUCCAGCAAAGGAAAAUGAACUUUAAUGGAUGAGUUGAUCCUUCAUCUUUCAGUUUGUGGUGAUGGAUCUGCUUGUUGAGGUUCCUCAGCCUCCAGUGCCAAAGUUCUUGGUCUGAGUAAGGAGGAGGCAGAAGCUCUGCAGCUAAGUGGAAGGGUGAAAAAACAAAAAUAAAACAAAAGCAGCCACUUACUACUUCCCCUACCCAGCUUCUUUCCCAUGCAAACCAGAAUGCAAUGAUUCUCCCGAGCUUUCUCCCUUCUGCCCACUUGGGCUGAGCAAUGGACAAUUUGAUCUCCUGCUCUCAGCACUGCUUUUAAGAAAGGCCAUUUCUGAAGGAGCAGUCCUGCCCAACAGUAAUUACACUUUCCAAUGAAUAGUUCCUUGUUGUUGGAUCCUGGUGUACUUCACUGAAUUCUGAUGCUGUUCGCUGCAGACCGGCUGAGGACGCGAGUGACUUGAGAUCUGCCAGGGCUGAUGCAGGGAGGACUGAUCCUGCUCCAGGGCAAGAAAAUAAACGAGGCAAUCUCAUGAGGCCCCUCAGGCCCUGAGCUCCCGCUAUGCAGGAGUCACACACAUGCCUAUCUCUUUAUAUUUAACAAUACUGAAGAAAAAGCCCUGUCCUAUGACAGUGAAACGGCACUGCUGCGAAGCUGAGAAAACAUCAUUCUUCUGCAGAAAUUAAGUAGAAAAAUGCAGCUGUCUGCUCUUCAGAGUUUUUAAGGACACUGGAAGAUAGUCUUCUUUCUUUCCUCAUGUGGUCCAAGAGCUGAAGUCACUUAAAUGAGAAACUUCAGAAAGUUAAAAGAGGGAAAAUAUUUUGCUGAUUUUUCCUUUUUUCCUCUUUGUUUUUUUUUAAUAAAUGCCAUUGGCGUACAAUAGACAUGAGGAACCAUAAUGCUGUCUUUCCCUCUCAUCUCCAUUCAAAAAAAAAAAGCAAAAAAAAAAGGAAAACAUUUAGGGAUGGAGCCAGAGCAUGAUCUUGAUUACUGCAUCCAGAUGUAAUGCUGAAGUGAAUCUCGUGCUGUAAAUACAACAGUUUCAGGCUCCCACUUGUGUAACAGAGAUAAAAAUCUAACACAGGGGCUCCAAAAAGCUCUCCUGCACCUUCCAAGGCUCAGUCGGGCCCACAUGCAAAGUCCAAAAUAAACUGAAUUUACUGGAAAAUCCCCAAGAUUAUGUCUAGAGCGAUUCCAAGACUUUUCUGCUUUCCAAUUCAAAUGAGCCCUAUUACACAUCAGGAAUGUCUGGAGGAGAAAUACAGCCUGUUUCAUAAAGCCUUAUUAUAUAUUUUAAUGCACACAGUGUAAACAUGAACAUGUCUCCUGGAUAUUUUGUUGUUUCAGUUUUAUAAUUCUGUGUGCUCUUCGGUUACUUACUUAGUAAAAAUCUUCAGGAAAAAAAAACACUUUUGUGAUAUUUAUUUUUUCUCCACGAAGGCUACAGCUGCUGAUCCCAACUGUGCUUCAUGGGCGUGUUUCAGUCAUUCAGUUAACUUUGAUCUGACGGAGGUGUAACAGAUUGGGAUGAGUCAAGUAGUGCCAUUGAAGAAAGACACGAAACCCAGGCGACGAUAACCUUGUGGCGGGCACUCAUCCACCCCCAAAAUGAUGUUAAACUCUUUGUUGGCUUCGCAUAACGUACAUCGGCAGUUAAGAGCACCCUUAGGCCUCUUUUCCAUCACCAAUGGACGUCCAGAAGUUGUGUAUGUCCUUGCUUUGCCGUGCAUCACAGAUGACCCUACAGGCCUCUCCUGCUCUACCCCCCGCACUGUUAGCACGCAGUGCCUGUCUGAGAAGGGCCACCUAUUGCCAAAGGCUCAGACACGGACCUUCACACCAGACCCAGACUGAGAACAGGCUACAGAUGCCUGCUUUUGCAGGUUGGAUGAAGCAGAUCUGGUCAGGCUUCUCCUGUUGCCUCCCUCAACUCUCUGCAGCUACCUUUGCUGUGUCCUUCACACCACGGCAAAAGCCAGGUCCACGAAUGGAAAAAGCCAUGGGUUUCGUGAGGACCUGUAGUGCGUGGUUUAGUUCUUGGCUAAAGAAAGAGGGAAUUUCGAAUUCUUCCAGGAAUGGAUAAAGACAAGAAGAAAAUCCAAGCAGGUUUGCUCAGAUCAAGGAACCCUGCAGCAUAAUCCCACAUCACUCUGAGGCAAAAGGUCAGGCUGGCCCUUUCCCUAGUGAGUUGACAUCAAGGUAGUGGUGCCCAUGAACCAGCAUAUUUCUUUCAUCUGACAUGAACAAAGAACAGAAAAAAUUCUGUUUAAGACAUUUAUGCCUCAAGGACCCAAUUCCUCCUUCAUAUGACACAAAGAAAAACUUUCAACCUGGCAUCUCAAUCAGAGCGAUACCAGAAACAAAAUACAUGUUCCUCAAGCACUAAGGUAGUGGAAGAUAGUGCUAGAAGGACAUGCAGAUAAGUCAGUGCAGCUGUCACAGGGCCCUGCAGGCGCAUACAGGCCCUAAUCACCCUGAAGAGCUUUGGCUGGGCCCCGGGGCUGUGUUAGACUCAGGCCCUUGGCCUCGUUCUUCUUUUGAGCCGGGCUGUGUUGUGCUGUGUCUGCCUUUGCUCCUUGCUGCCUCCAGUGUGGCUGCUUGGGGUGGCCUUGGCACUUCCUUACCCCAUGGGUUUGUGUGGUGGUGGCUGGACGGGGCCAGGCCGGGGAUGGUAGCUGUCCCCUGGGUUCCAGAUGGGAAAGUGACAUUUUGGCCAAAAUGCAAUAAGGCUGUUAACGCAUUUCUGGCACUGAGCUGAGCACGGGGUGCUUCUGCUGUGCCUUGGUGCCAUGGAAGGCUGGUGACCUUUUAACACGUUCCCUUUUAGCAGCAAUCACAUUGCUUAGACAACUUCUUAGACGUGAAAUAAUGCCUUUUUCUUUCAGGAGCAGAAAGGUACAGUACCAGGGCAUUCAAACAUCUGUUUCAUUUUGCAUUUUCAAUUCUAACUCAGAUAAUGGGAGCUUUCACAUCACAGGAAAGAAAAAACAGCAAGAGUCCCCAUUAUUUACCAAUCUACAGAGGUAUGAAUCACAGAGCUGGUAAAGCCCCAUGCCUGUGUGAUUUGGGUCUUAUGGGUUAUUAGUAUAACCGGCUCGUGAGGCUCUUUUUUAACAUGCAAAUGGAAAUGCUUUAUUUAUUGUGGGUGGGACUGAUUCCCCUCCAGAGGGGUCCCCGUUGAACCUAGCAUUACUUGCACCGAUCGCAGGAGGAGGGGUGUGAUUUCUUUAGUCCCAUGAAGCCCUUCUUUAAAGCUCAGCUUCGUGUUCUCUGCCGCUGAGCUCCCUUGCAGGCUGGUAGUUACUGUGGCACUAACAGCUUCAGUAGGAGCUAAAGGGCUUGUGGGGCUGGGAAAGCUAAAUACCAUGGUCUGUGUGCCUGCUUAGUUGUACUGAAGCUGGUGCUACAGGCAGUGCUGCUCAGACUGUGAUUUGUAAGGGCAUUUCAGUGGAUGUUGGCAACGUAAAGCAUUACUCUUCUAAGAAGCAAGGAUUUCUUCUUGUUCCUUUUCAAGCUCCCUGAGCAAGUUGGAGUCCUGCAGCAUGAAGUCUUUCCCUUUGCUUUUGGGGACCGCUGGGUUUGCCCCCAGCCAGCAGAGGCAUGAAGACACAGCACGGUGCAGUUGGUCAGUGGAAGGCAGGGCUGAUCUCCCUACCUGCAGGCUAGUCAUGCUAAUUAACUGUAUCUUUUUUCAGGAUGCUCCUAUCUCAAAAAGAAGUUUAGUCACUGUAUUGUGAUUAAGAGUUCCUCUACUUAAUCAGGCUCCGCCUGUCCCACCUCUGCGGUCCUUGUGCCAAUGCUGACUGCCUUGUUACUUGGAAUUGCUGCAGAAAGUCCAGAAGGAUUCCAGGAGAAGCGUUGAUUCUCCACCGAACAUAUGGAGAGGUGGAAAUGGUGCUCCUCGGCCUAUCUGCCAUUUGAUGCUCAGGAAGGGAGGAAGGAAGGAAAACCAAACGUUUCUGUGCCGAGGGGUUUCUCCAGCCUUAUCACGGCCUCGCUUCCUUUGCUAGAUGUUCUCUGAAGCGGUGGAAGAGGGGAGCUAACUCCGUGUUUUCCUCUCAGGGUAAAUAAGAUCAUGGAUUUCUGCGGGUGGUCUUGGCACUGGCGCAGUCUUGUUGGCUUCUUCUAGAAACUGGAAUUGAGCUCAGCUCCAGCUCUGAUUUUGUAGAUAUAGAAACAGAACUUUGGUGCAAAUGCUUCUGAGCCUCUGCUGCUUCAUACACUCCUUUGGAGGUCUGGUUAAUGCUCCAAAGCGCAGCGCUAACCCCAUCGUAAAGCACGUAGUUAAUGACUGCUAGUAAAAAAUGGUCUUUAUUUUCUCUAUGUUCCAUAUAUAUGUCUUAUGAAGGACUGCUGGGGUGAGGUGUAGGAUGGAGAACUGGAAUUAAUAUGGAUGUGCUCCAGCAUGGAUUGGGGCAGUGAAGGGAUGGCGGUGGCUGGGGAGCCUGGCUGGGUGAGGAGAUGCCUUCUCCACUCUUGGCUGGCCGUCCUUCGGCCGAGCAAAUUCAGAUGUUUGAAAAUGAUGACGUCCAACUCUGGAAGUAAUUAUGCACAUUCAGUUCUCGUGGAACAGACUGAGAAUUGUUUCUGAAAAAUCCUCUGGGAAUCCAGAGGUGAAGUGGGUUAGGAGGCAGGGGGUUCUCGGGGAGUUCUGUGGGUUCAGUUCGGGAGGUAUUGAUCUGUGCAGUAAGCGUUGAAAAUUCUGAAUUUCUUCACAUAGCUGCAACCAGGAAGGAGAUCUGCUGUCCAAAAUACUGGAUUUUGCCCUGAUGUAUACAAUAUAUUUUAUAGCCCAUAGAACUAUUCACUCCUUGAGACAUUUUUCCGUGGGCCUAGCUAUAGGCCAGCUCAAAUACGUACUAAGGCCACAAUACACUGUAAGGCUGGCCCAGCAUUUCUCAUUUUAUGGCUUUUUUGCUAGUUACAACUGCAAUUUUCUGCAUUGGGAACCUGGCUCAGUCCAAAUCCUUUUUGAAAGGUCUCGGCAAAAGUGACUGAGCAAUACGUCGUUGGGAAAUGUAGUGUUUUAUGAGUGUGAAGGGUGACUUCUGCUGUUGGAAGGAGGAGAGCUGUGUGCUCUCAUCCGGGGUUUCAGGGUGUCACAGCCACAUCCGCCUGUCCCAGAGCACGCUUCGCAGAGGUGGAAGUUUUCACAUUGAGAGAAAUGGACAGUGGAGGCAGGAGGCUCAUCUUAGUAGUUCUGCUGGGCUGAAUCCAGAAAGCCAGAUGAGGCUCCUUCUGAUCAGCAAAUGUGUUUUAACUGGCUUCAGCAAACCCAGAUGUACAUCCACGGAGUUAGCUCCCCUGGAGUAAACUCUCCUGUUGUGUGCUUCCAGUCUGAAAGCGUGGUUUAGCUACAGGACCUUCUUAGCGAGCACAUCUGCUGUGCAAAUUUGUGCAGCAUCACAUCUGCCUGCAGAGGUCUGUGAGGGAGGAAAAAAAAAGGAGGUUUAAUUUCUGGCUUGCACAGUGCUAACAAAACAAAUACAAGACAAGUUACGGUUUGAAUCUACCUCGUAGACCAACACUCUUAUCCCCAUGCAACAGGCUGGUUCUGCUUUGCAGCGUAUUGUGGGGAAGUGCCAGAAGGGAGAGCUGGGCCAGAAUCUGACCCAUAGGGACUCUGCAGCCUUUUGUAUGUAAGACCACUGUGCUUUCACCAUACCCAGCAGUUCAUGUGCUGUUACACAGGUUUUCUGUAAGAAAGUUCGUAAAGAAAAAAGUAAUCUCAAGUAAUAAACUGUCUUAUGUUGCUACCAAAACUUCCACCAGCUCUCAAAUUGCGUACCUAAAGAUCAGUUUCUCUCUGACUUCUUUGUUCUGACCACGGUCCUGGUGGCAUCUCAGUAGCUUCUGUGCCAGCAAAGUCCCUAUCUGUGAUGCCGUAUCUCAGCCCUCCAGCCCACCAGCAUCUCCAGGAUGCUCCACGUUUCCCCUGCUCCCACCGCCCUCCUCAGCACCAGUGCUGGGAGCACUCACAGGAGGAUGGAGAGGAAAGGUGCCCCAUGGAGCUCUUCCUUCUGCCAUCUCUUCCCAGUUGUGUGCCUGCCCACACACCAGCGCUCCUGUGUCACUGUUUACUACUCAGGCAGUGACAGGGAAAGUAUUUUUCUCCUCCCAGGCUACAACUGCCGACAGUUAGCCUUCAGUAACAUAAUGACCAGCCAGUGUGAAACUGUUAAAAUUACCUCAUAAAUAACUCCUAAUGCUCAGAGAACUGGGAGUUGUGGCUCAUGGAUAAAUUACUCGCUGCCAUUAUGGAGCAUUAAACCAUGGCUAAUAUGGAGGUCUCCAUAGGGGCUUCAUUAAACACCAGAGGAUUCCCAUAGAUUUAACCAUUGGGGAGCUGCACAGCUCUCACUGCCUGUCAGCUCUAUCAUGUUAGAGAUAAUGCACUUCUGCACAGGAGGAGCAGGGAUACUAAUGGACAGCAAAAUGCCUCCAUAUGAGAAAAAUAAAAAAAUCCCAACGUUGUUAACACUCUGUGGCAGAAUGCUGUUUGCAGCAAGCUUUGAGUUGUCUGUAUUGUUUAGAAGUUGUUUCUUUUUGCAUGAAGACGUUAAGGGAGCUUGAUAGGAAUUAGUCUUCUUCCAGCCAAGAUGCAGGUAAGGGGUAGCAGCUCGAGCUGCCCUGCCAGCCAUGGCCAUCUCCAAAUCUCUGUAGCUGGCUUGGCUGGGAGAGAUGCGCUGCAGUGUGUUCAUUGGCUGCCUGUGGCAGAUCAGAGCUACCAGGGGCAUGUCCACCUGUGCCACCGUCGCAGCUCACAUUGCCUGGUGGAGGUACCCUCUGACAAGAUGCAUCCUCACCUACAUCUGCAUGGCCAAGCACUGACACUGGGUACCUCCACCCAGCCAUGGUUACCGAACAGUGUUAGGGAGCCCCAGGCUUCCCAUGAUCAAGGGAGCUGAGAACUGAACUCAUGCAUGGUUGGAAUCACCCCUCAGGCUCCCUCCGCUGUGGGCUGCAUUGCAGUGAUGCAGCUGCUCCUCACGCUGUGCAGGGCUGUGCAGCUUUCAGCAUGCAAAGGGUCCUGUGCACUUGUGCUUGCAGAGCACGGAUGCCCUUCUGCAGCAAAGGCCAGAAGAACAGAUGGUGCCUACCAGCUGAGAUCUGGGGAGGCUUAAUGGCCAUCAUGGAAGUAUUUAUAGCUUCUUCUUGUACAAAACUUUUGGAAUUACCACCAAUACAAACUGUAUUUCUGAACUAUGUUUUUCCA
Numida meleagris (helmeted guineafowl) is the source of this 13189-nucleotide long non-coding RNA. RefSeq lists it as uncharacterized. The record is from RefSeq and is a predicted model, not a curated record. NCBI's taxonomy places the organism in Eukaryota, Metazoa, Chordata, Aves, Galliformes, Numididae. The transcript is spliced from 3 exons.